Coregonus clupeaformis (lake whitefish) is the source of this 551-nucleotide long non-coding RNA. RefSeq lists it as uncharacterized. The record is from RefSeq and is a predicted model, not a curated record. The transcript is spliced from 2 exons. Lineage: Eukaryota; Metazoa; Chordata; Actinopteri; Salmoniformes; Salmonidae.
AGGGAGAGAGGGAGAGAGGGCGGGAGUGAAGGAGAGAGCGAGAGAGAGAGAGAGAGAGAGAGAGAGAGAGAGGACAAUACAAGUCAAUAAAAUAAAUACCAGCAUGGCACCAACUUAGUUUUGCCGCCCUCAUAUGAAAAUAGGUAACAGAAAUGUUCUACUUAAACAAUAGAUACAUCCAUAAUUUACAUCCUAUCCUAGAGUAGAGACAAGGAUUGAGGGUUCAAGUGAUUCCAAUUAUGUUUUAUACAGUACCUUAGAGCAGUGGUUCCCAACCAGGGGUACUAGGACCCCUGGGGGUCCUUGGCCUAUCCACAGGGGGUACUUGAGAAUACUCAUAAGACCAUAGGCCUACUGGUAAAAUACACAUGUGGGGGUACUCCAGGGGUACUCCGGGCAGAGCAAAAUUCAGUUGGUGGUACAUUAAACGAAAAAGGUUGGGAACCAGUGCCUUAAGAGUCUGCAUACAUAUAUGGACAAAACACAUGCUUCAAUAUGUUUUAUAAUGUUUUUAGUCAAUCAAAUGUAUGUAUAAAGCCCUUUUUACAUCA